Molecule: transfer RNA, 73 nt
Filed under: Anneissia japonica
Lineage: Eukaryota; Metazoa; Echinodermata; Crinoidea; Comatulida; Comatulidae
Description: tRNA-Tyr
Rfam family: tRNA
About the family: Transfer RNA (tRNA) molecules are approximately 80 nucleotides in length. Their secondary structure includes four short double-helical elements and three loops (D, anti-codon, and T loops). Further hydrogen bonds mediate the characteristic L-shaped molecular structure. tRNAs have two regions of fundamental functional importance: the anti-codon, which is responsible for specific mRNA codon recognition, and the 3' end, to which the tRNAs corresponding amino acid is attached (by aminoacyl-tRNA synthetases). tRNAs cope with the degeneracy of the genetic code in two manners: having more than one tRNA (with a specific anti-codon) for a particular amino acid; and 'wobble' base-pairing, i.e. permitting non-standard base-pairing at the 3rd anti-codon position.
Source: RNAcentral
GCCUCCGUGGUCUAAUGGUUAUGACGCUCGCCUAUACAGCAAGAGGUCGCAGGUUGGAGUCCGGCCAGAGGCA